CCUCGCUCAAAGGAGGCGGCGGGGAACCGGGGCGAGGGGCAUCCCGCGGCCUUCUCGGCGGGGCCUGAGGACAGAGGCGUUUAAAAAAUUUAAAAAGCAACCGCCAUAACCGUCAGUUCGCCCAGAUCCCUUUGUCUACCAAUCCCUGCUCGUUCCAGUUUCAAAAAGAAAAAAACAGAUGACAUCCACAAAGAGCCGCAGCAAAGGGCACCCUAAAUCAAAUCAAGACAUUAUGAAUUGCACCAAAAAGGCCCCGGAUGGCAGCAGCCAUAAUCUGCUAAACGAGAGGCCAGGUAGGCUCUCUGACCUAGUCUAUUAGCAUCUAGUCUAAUGGAAUUCAUAGUGUCAUCAAAAGACCCCUUUUGUUCUAAAUCAUGCCCAGGAAUUCAGGCGUCUCAAUGAUAAAGAGAAAACUCCCGUCUUUUCCUAACCCCUCCCUGGCACCAAGGUUCUGAGAUACUCCAGAGAAGUGCCAAUAAUUAGCCCCUUUUGUUUAGCUUAAGUCAGGGCCAUAAAAGGCACAUUUAGAUAAGAGAGUCGAAACAUCCGAGGAACAGGAUGUCAAUCAAGUCAAACUACGAAUCUAAAUCUCCGCAUAUUUUGGGAACACUAAGAACAUCUCUUGGCAUAUUGGCAUAUUGAUGACUUAAUUGUGACACUAUUGCUGUAAUUCUAUCUGCACCAAUUGGUCAUUUUAUUUCUUUUGAUGUACUCUGGCUUAUACUCUUUAUAAACCCCUGGUUUUGUUCAGUUGAGGGCGACUCUCCUGAUUCUAGUGGAAGCCCUUAUUGGCCUGAAUAAAAUUGUUUCUUUAAUUUUA
Long non-coding RNA from Sphaerodactylus townsendi, 820 nucleotides. RefSeq lists it as uncharacterized. The transcript is spliced from 3 exons. The record is from RefSeq and is a predicted model, not a curated record. Lineage: Eukaryota; Metazoa; Chordata; Lepidosauria; Squamata; Sphaerodactylidae.